This is a long non-coding RNA of Brassica rapa (field mustard), 2059 nucleotides long. RefSeq lists it as uncharacterized. The record is from RefSeq and is a predicted model, not a curated record. Lineage: Eukaryota; Viridiplantae; Streptophyta; Magnoliopsida; Brassicales; Brassicaceae.
CAGAGGAGGAGUACCAAGCGCAGUUAGCCCUAGCGAUCAGUGCGUCGAAUUCUCAGUCCUGUGAGGUUCCGGAGAAGCAUCAGAUCCUAGCGGCGACGCUUCUGAGCUUGGGAAGCCGUUACCGGGUGGAGUCAAGGAGGGAUUAAUCGGAGGUGGUUGCCGAGAGGUUAUCGAGACAGUACUGGCCUAUCCGCAGACUCAGCUAAGCAGGGAGAUAUGCCAGUGCCAUCACUCGAAGAUCUUGAAAGCAACCAUGGAACACGUGGCUUUGAAGCUGUGGUUGUGAAUCGACCCAUUGAUCCUUCCCUGGAUGAGUUUCUUCAAAUUGCGCAAUGUAUUGCACUGGAUUGUCAUUCUCCAAGUGUUAACGUGCUGGUUACAGAGGCUGGCUGAACUUGUCACAGGGCAUAUGGGUAGGUCUGCGAAAGAUUACAGUAUAGUAUCGGCAAGGUGGACUGAGAAGAGUACUGAGUUCAAGGCAGCACUAAACACUUGUGUAUUCCCUCUUGGAUUUGUAAAUAUUGGUCUCUCCAGGCAUCGUGCUCUGCUUUUCUAGGUUUUGGCAGAUAGUGUCAGGUUGCUUUGUAGGUUGGUAAAAGGUAACCAUUACACGAGCAACGAGGAUGAUGCAGUGAACACAAUACGACUGGAACGCCUGAAUGGAUGGCUCCAGAAGUUCUACGCAAUGAGCCUUCAAAUGAAAAAUGAGUAGCUUAGACGUUCAGUGUGAUGUGUACAGUUUCGGGGUGAUUCUAUGGGAACUAGCAACAUUGAGAUCGCCUUGGCGAGGAAUGAACCCAAUGCAAGAAGUAGGAGGAGUUGGUUUCCAGAAUCGCGGGCUUGAGAGAUCCCAAAGGAACUUGAUCCUGUGGUGGGAAGAAUCAUCUUGGAAUGUUGGCAAACGGAUCCGAAUCUGCGGCCGUCCUUUGCUCAGCUGACGGAAGUGCUGAAGCCUUUGAACCAGCUCGUGUUUCCUUCACCACAAUAGUUUUCAACUGUGAAUACAUGAAAGACGGAAAGGCCGUGAUGCUGUGCUUAUAUUAUUGGGUUAUAAACUUGGUCUCCCCUCUCUUUCCCACAAUGGACGCUCAUCGCUCAGAGGCCAAAGCUUUUCCAUCAAUAUCAUCAAUUCCAAUAUACGGUUCGAUUAUAAAAUUUAAUAAUAUUGUUUGUUUACCUCAUAACUUUUCUUAUCGAUAUCGACUUGUGUUCCUAAUCAAACCCAUCAUAGUGCCUAUUUUAAUCCAGACAGAAAACUGAUAUCCAGUAAACUAUGGAGUUAAUUGGAUAUUGGUUUGUAUUGUUCUUCUAAUUUUGGAUAAUAUAUACCAUAAUUAGUGAUUCUGGGACGAAAAUGAUAUCUUGAGAGACUUGGGGGGGUAGAUAGAGUAAAUAGAUACUCUUGAAGGAGAGAGUGUACGUGGAGUGCGAGAGACAGCGAGUGAUUAGGGUCCACGAAUUGGCGCGAAUUCCAUGGGGAUGAAAGAAGAAACCCACCGAAGUCGAAGGAUGAACAACAAUGUCACUCUCUCUCUCUCUCUUAUUUUUUUUUUUGUUUACUCAUUCCUACAGUCGCUCCUUCGCUUCUUUUCUUCUUCUCUCCUUAUUUUUUUCCGAUCUCGCUUCCUCCCAGUUUCAUUGUUCUAUUUCAGUUUCUGGUGAUCCCAUCAUUUUUUUUUGGUUCUGUGUGGUGAUCUUAUUCCUCUGAACGUCUUUAGAUUGUGGUAAUAUAUCGGUGAUAUUGUCGGAAACUGUAAUCGUUUUGUCCGAAUCCCUCUCCGGUGUGUCUGUUUGUCUAGAAAUCUACAGAUUUUUAGGUUUCUUGCGUAACAAGUCACUAUACUGCGGGGAAUGUCCCGAAAAAUGGAUCUCCUUCACUUGUAAUCAUUGUGAAGAAGAAAAGACUGACCAAUAUUGAACAAUGGGAACUCCAGUAAAUAUUAUUGUAGGUUCUCGUGUUUGGGUUGAAGACUCAGACGUGGCUUGGAUUGAUGGUGAGGUUGAAAAGCUCACUGGAGAAGAAGUUGUGAUCCAAGCGACAACUGGAAAGACGGCAAGU